UGGUUUGAUUCUGGCUCAGGAUGAACGCUGGCGGCGUGCCUAAUACAUGCAAGUCGAACGAAACUUCUUUAUCACCGAGUGCUUGCACUCACCGAUAAAGAGUUGAGUGGCGAACGGGUGAGUAACACGUGGGCAACCUGCCCAAAAGAGGGGGAUAACACUUGGAAACAGGUGCUAAUACCGCAUAACCAUAGUUACCGCAUGGUAACUAUGUAAAAGGUGGCUAUGCUACCGCUUUUGGAUGGGCCCGCGGUGCAUUAGCUAGUUGGUGGGGUAAAGGCUUACCAAGGCAAUGAUGCGUAGCCGAACUGAGAGGUUGAUCGGCCACAUUGGGACUGAGACACGGCCCAAACUCCUACGGGAGGCAGCAGUAGGGAAUCUUCCACAAUGGGCGAAAGCCUGAUGGAGCAACGCCGCGUGGGUGAAGAAGGUCUUCGGAUCGUAAAACCCUGUUGUUAGAGAAGAAAGUGCGUGAGAGUAACUGUUCACGUUUCGACGGUAUCUAACCAGAAAGCCACGGCUAACUACGUGCCAGCAGCCGCGGUAAUACGUAGGUGGCAAGCGUUAUCCGGAUUUAUUGGGCGUAAAGGGAACGCAGGCGGUCUUUUAAGUCUGAUGUGAAAGCCUUCGGCUUAACCGGAGUAGUGCAUUGGAAACUGGGAGACUUGAGUGCAGAAGAGGAGAGUGGAACUCCAUGUGUAGCGGUGAAAUGCGUAGAUAUAUGGAAGAACACCAGUGGCGAAAGCGGCUCUCUGGUCUGUAACUGACGCUGAGGUUCGAAAGCGUGGGUAGCAAACAGGAUUAGAUACCCUGGUAGUCCACGCCGUAAACGAUGAAUGCUAAGUGUUGGAGGGUUUCCGCCCUUCAGUGCUGCAGCUAACGCAAUAAGCAUUCCGCCUGGGGAGUACGACCGCAAGGUUGAAACUCAAAGGAAUUGACGGGGGCCCGCACAAGCGGUGGAGCAUGUGGUUUAAUUCGAAGCAACGCGAAGAACCUUACCAGGUCUUGACAUCUUUUGACAAUCCUAGAGAUAGGACUUUCCCUUCGGGGACAAAAUGACAGGUGGUGCAUGGUUGUCGUCAGCUCGUGUCGUGAGAUGUUGGGUUAAGUCCCGCAACGAGCGCAACCCUUAUUGUUAGUUGCCAGCAUUAAGUUGGGCACUCUAGCAAGACUGCCGGUGACAAACCGGAGGAAGGUGGGGAUGACGUCAAAUCAUCAUGCCCCUUAUGACCUGGGCUACACACGUGCUACAAUGGACGGUACAACGAGUCGCAAGACCGCGAGGUUUAGCAAAUCUCUUAAAGCCGUUCUCAGUUCGGAUUGUAGGCUGCAACUCGCCUACAUGAAGUCGGAAUCGCUAGUAAUCGCGGAUCAGCAUGCCGCGGUGAAUACGUUCCCGGGCCUUGUACACACCGCCCGUCACACCAUGAGAGUUUGUAACACCCAAAGCCGGUGGGGUAACCUUUUGGAGCCAGCCGUCUAAGGUGGGACAGAUGAUUGGGGUGAAGUCGUAAAAAGGUAGC
RNAcentral lists this ribosomal RNA (1523 nucleotides) under uncultured bacterium. Its description in RNAcentral is "partial 16S ribosomal RNA". It matches the Rfam family "Bacterial small subunit ribosomal RNA". The record is from RNAcentral.